AUCCCUGGAAUCCCCUGGAAACAGGGGAGUGCCCUUCGGGGAGCCAGGAGACAGGUGCUGCAUGGCUGUCGUCAGCUCGUGUCGUGAGAUGUUGGGUUAAGUCCCGCAACGAGCGCAACCCUCGACCUUAGUUGCCAGCAUUCAGUUGGGCACUCUAAGGUGACUGCCGGCUAAAAGUCGGAGGAAGGUGGGGAUGACGUCAAAUCAUCAUGCCCCUUAUGACCUGGGCUACACACGUGCUACAAUGGGCGGUACAAAGGGUCGCGAACCCGCGAGGGGGAGCCAAUCCCAAAAAGCCGCUCUCAGUUCGGAUUGCAGGCUGCAACUCGCCUGCAUGAAGCCGGAAUCGCUAGUAAUCGCGGAUCAGCAUGCCCGCGGUCGAAUACGUUCCGGCCUU
RNAcentral lists this ribosomal RNA (397 nucleotides) under uncultured Anoxybacillus sp. RNAcentral's name for it is "bacterial SSU rRNA". It matches the Rfam family "Bacterial small subunit ribosomal RNA", at positions 986 to 1374 of the family's 1533-position model. Lineage: Bacteria; Bacillati; Bacillota; Bacilli; Caryophanales; Anoxybacillaceae. The record is from RNAcentral.